Non-coding RNA from Vicia faba (fava bean), 207 nucleotides. Lineage: Eukaryota; Viridiplantae; Streptophyta; Magnoliopsida; Fabales; Fabaceae. The record is from the annotation of a GenBank genome assembly.
AUGCAAGUAUAUCCAUUAGAAGUCAUCAACACCAUAACUUUCAAUAAUGGAGAAACACACCAUUUUCAACUUUCGGUACCUCACUACCCAACCAUAAAUAUCCGCCCCUGUAUCUCUUCAAACCCCAAUCCAUCCUUUCUCCAAUCUUCAAGUGUUCGCAAUACUCAGAUAUAUCAUCAUCAAUGGCUCGCCGAGUUGAAGCAGUAA